AGUAACGGCGAGUGAACAGGGAAAAGCCCAAAUUUGUAAUCUGGCACUUUUUACAAGUGUCCGAGUUGUAAUUUGUAGAGCUGCUAUCCGUACUGGACCAUGUACAAGUCUGUUGAAAAGCAGCAUCAUUGAAGGUGAAAAUCCUGUAGAUGAUAUGGACUACCAGUAUAUUUGUGAUGCGGUUUCUAAGAGUCGAGUUGUUUGGGAAUGCAGCUCAAAGUGGGUGGUAAAUUCCAUCUAAGGCUAAAUAUGAAUGAAAGACCGAUAGCAUACAAGUACCGUGAGGGAAAGAUGAAAAGAACUUUGAAAAUAGAGUUAACAGUACGUGAAAUUGCUGAAAGGGAAACGUUUGAAGUUAGUUUUGUAUUCGUUGGAUCAGCUUCGCAAGGAGUGUAUUCCGAUGAUAGGCAAGUCAACAUCAAUCUAUGAGUGUUGGAUAAGGGUUUUGAGAACGUAGCAAUUCAGUUGUGUUAUAGCUCGAGACUUGGAUACRAUGCUUUGGAUUGAGGAACGCGUAGUAAGCUUUGAGCGGAUUCGAAAGGAUCUCCUUACUAUGGAUGUUGGUGAAAUAACUUUAAGCGACCCGUCUU
RNAcentral lists this ribosomal RNA (590 nucleotides) under Melampsora sp. TSH-R8823. Its description in RNAcentral is "eukaryotic LSU rRNA". It matches the Rfam family "Eukaryotic large subunit ribosomal RNA", at positions 82 to 655 of the family's 3401-position model. RNAcentral also lists the same sequence under 1 other name. Lineage: Eukaryota; Fungi; Basidiomycota; Pucciniomycetes; Pucciniales; Melampsoraceae. The record is from RNAcentral.